RNAcentral lists this ribosomal RNA (441 nucleotides) under Gammaproteobacteria bacterium. RNAcentral describes it as "bacterial SSU rRNA". It matches the Rfam family "Bacterial small subunit ribosomal RNA", at positions 59 to 495 of the family's 1533-position model. Lineage: Bacteria; Pseudomonadati; Pseudomonadota; Gammaproteobacteria. The record is from RNAcentral.
AAGUCGAGCGGAUGAGUGGAGCUUGCUCCAUGAUUCAGCGGCGGACGGGUGAGUAAUGCCUAGGAAUCUGCCUGGUAGUGGGGGACAACGUUUCGAAAGGAACGCUAAUACCGCAUACGUCCUACGGGAGAAAGCAGGGGACCUUCGGGCCUUGCGCUAUCAGAUGAGCCUAGGUCGGAUUAGCUAGUAGGUGAGGUAAUGGCUCACCUAGGCGACGAUCCGUAACUGGUCUGAGAGGAUGAUCAGUCACACUGGAACUGAGACACGGUCCAGACUCCUACGGGAGGCAGCAGUGGGGAAUAUUGGACAAUGGGCGAAAGCCUGAUCCAGCCAUGCCGCGUGUGUGAAGAAGGUCUUCGGAUUGUAAAGCACUUUAAGUUGGGAGGAAGGGCAGUAAGUUAAUACCUUGCUGUUUUGACGUUACCAACAGAAUAAGCACCG